GAUAAAAUAGUUUAAAUUAAAACUCUGGUCUUGUAAGCCAAAAAUAGUCAUAUCAGACUUAUUAUCU
This 67-nucleotide transfer RNA is filed under the name Scutopus ventrolineatus. RNAcentral's name for it is "tRNA-Thr". It matches the Rfam family "tRNA". Rfam says of the family: Transfer RNA (tRNA) molecules are approximately 80 nucleotides in length. Their secondary structure includes four short double-helical elements and three loops (D, anti-codon, and T loops). The record is from RNAcentral. Lineage: Eukaryota; Metazoa; Mollusca; Caudofoveata; Limifossorida; Scutopodidae.